CCGGUGGACAAACCGGAGGAAGUGGGGAUGACGUCAAGUCAUCAUGGCCCUUACGGCCUGGGCUACACACGUGCUACAAUGGUCGGUACAAAGGGUUGCCAAGCCGCGAGGUGGAGCUAAUACCCAUAAAACCGAUCGUAGUCCGGAUCGCAGUCUGCAACUCGACUGCGUGAAGUCGGAAUCGCUAGUAAUCGUGAAUCAGAAUGUCACGGUGAAUACGUUCCCGGGCCUU
RNAcentral lists this ribosomal RNA (232 nucleotides) under uncultured Pseudomonas sp. RNAcentral describes it as "partial 16S ribosomal RNA". It matches the Rfam family "Bacterial small subunit ribosomal RNA", at positions 1152 to 1382 of the family's 1533-position model. Lineage: Bacteria; Pseudomonadati; Pseudomonadota; Gammaproteobacteria; Pseudomonadales; Pseudomonadaceae. The record is from RNAcentral.